Molecule: non-coding RNA, 30 nt
Filed under: Mus musculus (house mouse)
Lineage: Eukaryota; Metazoa; Chordata; Mammalia; Rodentia; Muridae
Source: RNAcentral
UAGAAAUCGCAUUUGCUCACAAUCCAGAAA